UUCAGGCCGGCCCUCUGUGGCGCUGUGGACCCCACAGGAAGCUGCGCGACAGGAUAACCUGGGCGUUGUUCCUGUGGGUGAGCAUCGUCUGGAGGUUGGGGAAGUCCUGUGCCCGGAAAGCCUGGAAAGAGAACGGGACUCAUCUGAGAGGCUGCGCCUGCCGAUGGCACAGAUACCCCAUCUUGGUGGUUCAAGGAGCACCAUCGACCUGGGGCCUGGCAGGCCUGGAGCCCUUCCUCUACCCAGGCCCCUCUGCCCUCUCCACUAGGCUCCAGGGAUUAGGACACAGGAUCUUGGGAGCCUUGCUUCUGCCUACCACACCCCCGCUUUCACUGCGGCCCUCCCUGCUUUGUGCUCAUUUACCUCCUCUCUGCCCAUCUCUGACCAGGCAUCCUCGGUCCUCGCACCCCCUGCGCUGGUGGCCAGGUGAGCCGAGUGGCUGCGUGUCUGUGUGGAGGCUCAGGCUGACUGGGGGACCCCCUCCCAGCACCAUAGAGGAGCUCCUGCUCCAGACACCCUUUCUGACUGGCUCACUCUGCCCAGGCCUCCUCCCUGACCACAGCCCAGUCUCCACUGAUGCCCAGUUGUUUUUUGGGCAUAAGUUCAGAAAGUGUGUCUACACGCGUGCACGCACGCACACAUGCACCCCAUUUCAGUCCUCAGCGGGCUCCUCCACAGAAGGGCUUUGUGCUCUCUGUGCCUCCCAGCACCACAGGGGAGAGGACAGGACACUGCACACCCGGACCACCUCACUACAUCCUCCUCUCCUGCCCCCCAUCCCCGUUCUAGGCUCAGUUCCGCCUUCACUGCUCUGCUUGCAUCUGCCCAGGGCCACAUGCUCCAGGCACAGCUGGAGACCAGCUGACCCCUAGAAACCACCCAGUGUGGCCUGAAGAGGGAGCCAGCAGAGGACCCUACAAUUAUUGAAGUCCUGGGUUAGUCCUCGCCCACAACAUACUGGCUCCACUUGUUUCUAGAACACACCUGCAAUCUUUCACCUCUGGCAUCCUCAACCGCCUCCCCUUGGCUGCCCAGCAUAGCACCUGUCCACAUUCCCUUCACCCUUCGCAGGGACGGCCGUCCCCUGGGAACAGACUGGUCUCUCCUGCAACACACCUUCUCUCCUGGAGGGCCAGGACCUGCUCAUUGUCCAGCUUUCCUCUCUGCUGUGUAGCCUUAAGCAAGUUCUACCACCUGCCUGGCUUCCAUUUCCUCUUCUCUAAAAUGAGCUCCGGUUUCAUCGUCUGUGAAGUGGGGACAUUGAGUGACAGAUGUGAAAGCAUCUCUGGCCUGCAGUGGCUGCAUCUGUCUGUGGUUAUGUCCGGUUCAUUCAUUCACUCAUCCCACUUGAUGGUCCCAGGUCAUUUCAUGCCCCCUUUGUUCCCGCCUGCACGUUUCUUGGGGCUGCCUCAACACGAUACUGUACAUGAGGGUGGGUGCUUAAACAACAAGUGUAUUGUCUCAGUUCAGGAGGCUAGAAGUCUGCAAGGUGUAGGCAGCCGCAAGCUCGCUCUGAGGCUGUAGGUGUAGGGGGUCCCUCCUGCCUCUCUCAGCCUCUGGGGUUCUGCUGGCAGUCUAUGGUGCUCGUCAUCACAUGGCUCCCCCUGUGUGUCUGUCCUUACAGGGCCUUCCUCGUAAGGACCCCAGUCAUAGCGGACUAGGGACCCACUCCCCUUCUCUUCAUCCUGACUACACCUGCAAUGAUCCUAUUCCCAGCUAAGGUCACUGAGGGUUGGGCUUCAACAUAGCUUUACCGGGGGACACACAGUUCAACCCAUAACACCACCCUGAUGGUUUAUUAUUUUGGUCUUGGGGCUUUUAAAAAAUGUCAACUGGCAGCUGGUAGCUCAAUUGGUUGGAGCAUCGUCCCCUAUACCAAAAGGUUGCAGGUUCAAUUCUCUGUUAGGACACAUACCUAGGUUGUGAGUUCAAUACC
Myotis lucifugus (little brown bat) is the source of this 1936-nucleotide long non-coding RNA. RefSeq lists it as uncharacterized. The transcript is spliced from 3 exons. The record is from RefSeq and is a predicted model, not a curated record. NCBI's taxonomy places the organism in Eukaryota, Metazoa, Chordata, Mammalia, Chiroptera, Vespertilionidae.